This 2122-nucleotide long non-coding RNA is filed under the name Mytilus galloprovincialis (Mediterranean mussel). Lineage: Eukaryota; Metazoa; Mollusca; Bivalvia; Mytilida; Mytilidae. The record is from RNAcentral.
UUUUCCUCAAAAAUUUUUUUCCUCAAUUUUUUUUUUCCCUCAAAAUAUUUUUCCUCAAAAAGUUUUUCUUCAAAUUUUUUUGUCAUUGCCUUAUUUGUUUUCUUUUUCCUUUUUCGAUUAUCAUCCUUAUUUGAUUUCCAUUUCCUUAUUCGAUUUUCAUUUCCUUAUUCGAUUUUCUUUUCCUUAUUCGGUUUCUUCUUCCUUUUUCAAUAUUCAUUUCCUUUUUCCUUUUUCUAUUUUCCUUAUUCGGUUUCUAUUUCCUUAUUGGAUUUUCAUUUCCUUAUUCGAUUUCCAUUUCCUUAUUCAAUUUUCAUUUCCUUAUUCGGUUUCUUUUUCCUUUUUCAAUAUUCAUUUCCUUAUUCGGUUUCUAUUUCCUUAUUCAGUUUCUAUUUCCUUAUUGGAUUUUCAUUUUCCUUAUUCGAUUUCCAUUUCCUUAUUCGAUUUUCAUUUCCUUAUUCGGUUUCUUUUUCCUUUUUCAAUAUUCAUUUCCUUUUUCUGUUUCUAUUUCCUUAUUCGGGUUCUAUUUCCUAAUUGGAUUUUCGUUUCCUUAUUCGAUUUCCAUUUCCUUAUUCGAUUUUCAUUUCCUAAUUCGGUUUCUUUUUCCUUUUUCAAUAUUCAUUUCCUUUUUCGGUUUCUAGUUCCUUAUUCGGUUUCUAUUUCCUUAUUGGAUUUUCAUUUCCUUAUUCAAUUUCCAUUUCCUUAUUCGGUUUCUUUUUCCUUAUUCGGUUUCUUUUUCCUUAUUCGGUUUCUUUUUCUUUUUUCAAUAUUCAUUUCCUUUUUCGGUUUCUAUUUCCUUAUUCGGUUUCUAUAACCUUUUUCGAUUUUCAUUUCCUUAUUCGGUUUCCAUUUCCUUUUUCGAUAUUCAAAUUUUGAAAAAUAUUACAAGUCCAAACUGAAUUUUUUUUUUCCUUCAAAUUUUUUUUUCCUCAAAAUUUUUUUUCAUCAAAAUUUUUUUUUCCUCAAAUUUUUUUUUUCCUCAAAAUUUUUUUUUUCCUCAAAAUUUUUUUUUCCUCUAAUUUUUUUUUUUCCUCAAAAUUUUUUUUUCCUCAAAAUUUUUUUGGCUCAAAAUUUUUUUUCCUCAUUUUUUUCCCUCAAAAUUUUUUUUCCUCAAAUAUUUUUUUUUCCUCAAAAUAUUUUUCCUCAAAAAGUUUUUCUUCUAAUUUUUUUUUCAUUUCCUUAUUCGUUUUCUUUUUCCUUUUUCGAUUAUCAUCCUUAUUCGAUUUCCAUUUCCUUAGUCGAUUUUCACUUCCUUAUUUGAUUUUCUUUUCCCUAUUCGGUUUCUUCUUCCUUUUUCAAUAUUCAUUUCCUUUUUCGGUUUCUAUUUCCUUAUUCGGUUUCUAUUUCCUUAUUGGAUUUUCAUUUCCUUAUUCGAUUUCCAUUUCCUUAUUCAAUUUUCAUUUCCUUAUUCGGUUUCUUCUUCCUUUUUCAAUAUUCAUUUCCUUUUUCGGUUUCUAUUUCCUUAUUCAGUUUCUAUUUCCUUAUUGGAUUUUCAUUUCCUUAUUCGAUUUCCAUUUCCUUAUUCAAUUUUCAUUUCCUUAUUCGGUUUCUUUUUCCUUUUUCAAUAUUCAUUUCCUUAUUUCGGUUUCUAUUUCCUUAUUCAGUUUCUAUUUCCUUAUUGGAUUUUCAUUUCCUUAUUCGAUUUCCAUUUCCUUAUUCGAUUUUCAUUUCCUUAUUCGCUUUCUUUUUCCUUUUUCAAUAUUCAUUUCCUUUUUCGGUUUCUAUUUCCUUAUUCGGUUUCUAUUUCCUAAUUGGAUUUUCAUUUCCUUAUUUGAUUUCCAUUUCCUUAUUCGAUUUUCAUUUCCUAAUUCGGUUUCUUUUUCCUUUUUCAAUAUUCAUUUCCUUUUUCGGUUUCUAGUUCCUUAUUCAGUUUCUAUUUCCUUAUUGGAUUUUCAUUUCCUUAUUCAAUUUAAAUUUCCUUAUUCAGUUUCUUUUUCCUUAUUCGGUUUCCUUUUCCUUUUUCGGUUUCUUUUUCCUUAUGCGGUUUCUUUUUCCUUUUUCAAUAUUCAUUUCCUUUUUUGGUUUCUAGUUCCUUAUUCAGUUUCUAUUUCCAUAUUGGAUUUUCAUUUCCUUAUUUAAUUUCAAUUUCCUUAUUCGGUUUCUUUUUCCUUAUUCGGUUUCUUUU